Molecule: ribosomal RNA, 451 nt
Filed under: uncultured bacterium
Lineage: Bacteria
Description: bacterial SSU rRNA
Rfam family: Bacterial small subunit ribosomal RNA
Source: RNAcentral
AACGAACGCUGGCGGCGUGGCUAAGACAUGCAAGUCGAACGGACUGUCCAAUUUAUUGAACAGUUAGUGGCGAAAGGGUUAGUAGCGGAUGGGUAACGUACCCUGUGCUUUGGGAUAGCGUCAGUUACUUCGGUAACUUUCCGAAAGGGGCGGUAAUACCAAAUAAUAUCAUUUGUCGAUAGGCAGAUGAUCAAAGAUUUAUCGGCACGGGAGCGGCCUGUCUCCUAUCAGCUUGUUGGUGAGGUAAUGGCUCACCAAGGCAUCGACGGGUAGCGGGACUGAGAGGUUGACCCGCAACAUCGGGGCUGAGACACUGCCCGGACCUCCACGGAGGGCUGCAGUAACGGAUAUUGUGCAAUGGGCGAAAGCCUGACACAGCGACGCCGCGUGUAGGAGGAAGUCUUUCGGGAUGUAAACUACUGUCAGGGGGAAGAAAGUGCGCUUCGGCGUA